AUGAACGCUGGCGGCGUGCCUCAUACAUGCAAGUCGAGCGAACGGACGAGAAGCUUGCUUCUCUGAUGUUAGCGGCGGACGGGUGAGUAACACGUGGAUAACCUACCUAUAAGACUGGGAUAACUUCGGGAAACCGGAGCUAAUACCGGAUAAUAUUUUGAACCGCAUGGUUCAAAAGUGAAAGACGGUCUUGCUGUCACUUAUAGAUGGAUCCGCGCUGCAUUAGCUAGUUGGUAAGGUAACGGCUUACCAAGGCAACGAUGCAUAGCCGACCUGAGAGGGUGAUCGGCCACACUGGAACUGAGACACGGUCCAGACUCCUACGGGAGGCAGCAGUAGGGAAUCUUCCGCAAUGGGCGAAAGCCUGACGGAGCAACGCCGCGUGAGUGAUGAAGGUCGUCGGAUCGUAAAACUCUGUUAUUAGGGAAGAACAUAUGUGUAAGUAACUGUGCACAUCUUGACGGUACCUAAUCAGAAAGCCACGGCUAACUACGUG
This 496-nucleotide ribosomal RNA is filed under the name uncultured bacterium. RNAcentral describes it as "partial 16S ribosomal RNA". It matches the Rfam family "Bacterial small subunit ribosomal RNA", at positions 29 to 507 of the family's 1533-position model. The record is from RNAcentral.